CUAGGUCUCAGUUCAGAUUGCAGGCUGCAACCCGCCUGCAUGAAGUCGGAAUUGCUAGUAAUCGCGGAUCAGCAUGCCGCGGUGAACACGUUCCCGGGCCUUGUACACACCGCCCGUCACACCAUGGGAGCCGGUAAUACCCGAAGUCAGUAGUCCAACCUCGUGAGGACGCUGCCGAAGGUAGGAUUGGCGACUGGGGUGAAGUCGUAACAAGGUAAC
Molecule: ribosomal RNA, 219 nt
Filed under: uncultured bacterium
Lineage: Bacteria
Description: partial 16S ribosomal RNA
Rfam family: Bacterial small subunit ribosomal RNA
Source: RNAcentral